UGGGGAAUUUUCCGCAAUGGGCGAAAGCCUGACGGAGUGACGCCGCGUGGGGGACGAAGGCCUUCGGGUCGUAAACCCCUGUCAGAGGGAAAGAAGGGUGCUGGCGUGAAUAGCGCCCGCAUCUGACGGUACCUUCAGAGGAAGCCCCGGCCAACUCUGUGCCAGCAGCCGCGGUAAGACAGAGGGGGCAAGCGUUGCUCGGAAUCACUGGGCGUAAAGGGCGCGUAGGCGGGAUGGCAAGUCGGUCGUGAAAUCCUUCGGCUCAACCGAAGAACGUCGGCCGAUACUGCCGUUCUUGAGGGAUGCAGAGGAGAUUGGAAUUCCCGGUGUAGCGGUGAAAUGUGUAGAGAUCGGGAGGAACACCGGUGGCGAAGGCGGGUCUCUGGGCAUCUCCUGACGCUGAGGCGCGAAAGCGUGGGGAGCAAACGGGAUUAGAUACCCCGGUAGUCCACGCUGUAAACGAUGACGACUAGGUGUGGGGGGGGUUAGUCCUUUCCGUGCCGCAGCUAACGCAUUAAGUCGUCCGCCUGGGGAGUACGGUCGCAAGGUUGC
RNAcentral lists this ribosomal RNA (552 nucleotides) under uncultured bacterium. RNAcentral describes it as "bacterial SSU rRNA". It matches the Rfam family "Bacterial small subunit ribosomal RNA", at positions 355 to 897 of the family's 1533-position model. The record is from RNAcentral.